CCCACCCCACCUCAGGCCUCUUGGCUAUGCAGCUACUUGGUUCAAUACUACAGAGGCACAGGGGGACAUGAAGGCCAUUGUCUUGAGAUGCAGAAGUGAACAAAAGAGAGAAGGUGUCUCUCAGACUCCCUGAUGAAAACUGAAGCCCACUGGAAAAGUGAAGAGAAUCUCUAGAAUAAAGGCAAACCAGACCACCGUGCUUGAUUCCCAUAGAAAAAUGAAGGAUAGAGUAUGCUUCUCAUAGGGGGAAGAAAAAGACUUUUCUACCUUCUUAGUCUAAAUUUUCCAGAGACACAAAAGAGGAGUUCCAGAACAGGUUCAGAAAACAGCAAAAAAAUGAUGGGAUAAGCAAGUGUGAAGGAAGGGGGGAGGGUUCUAAGGGGAUCCAACUCAGGACCUUGCGCUUGCGAGGAAGGCGGCAGAACCACUGAGCUACACCCCCAGCCCUGUGAUAUAUCUUUUAAACAUUCAUUGUACCAUUUGAUAACACCUCAUAUGCAGCAUUGUUACCUUAAUUUGUAUAUUAACCAGUGUUAAUAAACAGUAUGAGUUCAUACCCUUUUUC
RNAcentral lists this long non-coding RNA (565 nucleotides) under Heterocephalus glaber (naked mole-rat). RNAcentral's name for it is "lncRNA (ENSHGLG00100040203.1)". The record is from RNAcentral. Lineage: Eukaryota; Metazoa; Chordata; Mammalia; Rodentia; Bathyergidae.